Molecule: non-coding RNA, 24 nt
Filed under: Mus musculus (house mouse)
Lineage: Eukaryota; Metazoa; Chordata; Mammalia; Rodentia; Muridae
Source: RNAcentral
UAAGGUAGCUGUUUUAGGAUCAAU